UUAUAACUCUCCAAGUUUCAGCAGAAAAAAAAUUGCGAGCGGCCAAGGAUAAGUGAAAGCUUGUAAUAGCUUUUCCGCCCUGUAAGCCACCGCUGUGUCCAGGUGGUACAUAUUGGCAUCUACGUAGCCAUGUCCACGAGCGAUUAGUCAGUGCGUACGUUCACACAUGGACAUGAUUCUAUUCUGUGCUAUGUCCACAACAUGCAAUUCUAUUCGAAUGCGAUUUUCGCGUUUGAAAGUGUGUCUUGGGUGCCAGCACAGCAUAAUCAAAAACGUGUCAGACACACCACAUGAUUCGAAGCGUCGUGACGAGCUCUAGAAGUAACGAUAAUUUUUAUUUCGAUAGUUCGCUUGCAUCAUUCAAGAUUAGUUUGAAAUAAAAAAAUUUGUUUUUAUCAUGGCGAUAGUCAGAUACACAUUUGUAUAUAAGCCACUCAAGACACAGCAGGUGUCAGAUCAUUUUUUGCGACAGAAGACACAAAAAAAGAAAUCACUAUGAAACUCAUAACUUUAUUCCUCGUAGUUGCAAUCGCAAUCGCGAUUAUUAUUCCGUCUAUUAACGCCAGUGCGGAAGCAAAUGCGGACGCUUUUGCUGAAAGUUUUGCCAAUGCUUUUGCUGAAAGUUGGGCUGAUGCUGAUCCAGGCAAAGUAACGAGUGCUAUGAAAGAGGGGGCCAUACUAGCAGGCAAGGCAGCAGGCAAAGCACUUUGGGAGUGGGCUAAAAACAAGUGGGGAAAAUAAUAACAUAGCUUCUGCUUUCUGACUCAUCGGAACGGACCUACUUGAUUCGAAUAUAUUGAGACAUGUAUAAUUAUGAAAUAUGGAAGCACGAGCG
Long non-coding RNA from Pseudomyrmex gracilis, 835 nucleotides. RefSeq lists it as uncharacterized. NCBI's taxonomy places the organism in Eukaryota, Metazoa, Arthropoda, Insecta, Hymenoptera, Formicidae. The transcript has 5 exons. The record is from RefSeq and is a predicted model, not a curated record.